Oxyura jamaicensis (ruddy duck) is the source of this 228-nucleotide long non-coding RNA. RefSeq lists it as uncharacterized. NCBI's taxonomy places the organism in Eukaryota, Metazoa, Chordata, Aves, Anseriformes, Anatidae. The record is from RefSeq and is a predicted model, not a curated record. The transcript is spliced from 2 exons.
AUCAGUACAAUGCUACUGAAGGCAGUGUAACAAUGACUAUUUGAAUAAACUGAAAAUAUACUCUCCAGAAGAUGAGAGGCUGUGGGAUAUGCAGGGGUAUGAUCAUCUCCCAUAUGAAAGAAGAAAAAGCCUAUUUUGCUCUCCUUUUCUACUGGACUGAACCAAAAUGGGUGGCAGCAGCUCAUACUCCGGCACCAAGCCUGGCACAGAAGAACUUUUAAUGCACAG